GUCCUUGUUUCAAGGGCAUACGCUAACACUGGAUCGAUACAGAGAAGAUUAGCAUGGGCCCAGUGAAAGGAUGACAUGCUAAUCUGUAAAUCGUUCCUCUUUUUG
Molecule: small nuclear RNA, 105 nt
Organism: Clarias gariepinus (North African catfish)
Lineage: Eukaryota; Metazoa; Chordata; Actinopteri; Siluriformes; Clariidae
Source: RefSeq, a predicted model, not a curated record